GAUGAAGAACGUAGCGAAAUGCGAUAAGUAGUGUGAAUUGCAGAAUUCAGUGAAUCAUCGAAUCUUUGAACGCACAUUGCGCCCCUUGGUAUUCCAUGGGGCAUGCCUGUUCGAGCGUCAUUUGUACCUUCAAGCUCUGCUUGGUGUUGGGUGUUUGUCUCGCCUCUGCGUGUAGACUCGCCUCAAAACAAUUGGCAGCCGGCGUAUUGAUUUCGGAGCGCAGUACAUCUCGCGCUUUGCUCUCAUAACGACGACGUCCAAAAGUACAUUUUUACACUCUUGACCUCGGAUCAGGUAGGGAUACCCGCUGAACUUAAGCAUAUCAAUAAGCGGAGGA
Molecule: unclassified non-coding RNA, 337 nt
Filed under: soil metagenome
Description: partial contains 5.8S ribosomal RNA, internal transcribed spacer 2, and large subunit ribosomal RNA
Rfam family: 5.8S ribosomal RNA (bases 1-120)
Source: RNAcentral